GACGAACGCUGGCGGCGUGCUUAACACAUGCAAGUCGAACGAUGAACCCGGAGCUUGCUCCGGCGGAUUAGUGGCGAACGGGUGAGUAACACGUGAGUAACCUGCCCUUGACUCUGGGAUAACUGCGGGAAACUGUAGCUAAUACCGGAUACGACCCUCGGAGGCAUCUCCUGGGGGUGGAAAGAAUUUCGGUCAAGGAUGGACUCGCGGCCUAUCAGCUAGUUGGUGAGGUAAAGGCUCACCAAGGCGACGACGGGUAGCCGGCCUGAGAGGGUGACCGGCCACACUGGGACUGAGACACGGCCCAGACUCCUACGGGGGGCAGCAGUGGGGAAUACUGCACAAUGGGCGCAAGCCUGAUGCAGCAACGCCGCGUGAGGGAUGACGGCCUUCGGGUUGUAAACCUCUUUUAGCAGGGAAGAAGCGAAAGUGACGGUACCUGCAGAAAAAGCACCGGCUAACUACGUGCCAGCCGCCGCCGUAA
This 484-nucleotide ribosomal RNA is filed under the name uncultured bacterium. Its description in RNAcentral is "partial 16S ribosomal RNA". It matches the Rfam family "Bacterial small subunit ribosomal RNA", at positions 28 to 523 of the family's 1533-position model. The record is from RNAcentral.